GAAAGGGCCACGUUUGUUUUAAUUAAAAACAAAACCACCGAGUGGGCUGCUAGGCUGGGGCUGGGAGGCCAGGCCGGGGCGAAGAUCUGUGGGAUCCUUCGUGUUCUCACGUUUGGUUUCAGAGGGCUCCUUCUUCUAGACCUAACGCUGCCUGGUGUCUCCAGCAGAUCCAGAUGUCCAGCCGCCUGCCACCAGGAUGUCUGCCUUCGCCUCCUCCCCUGACGUGCUGGUCCCCCUUUCUACCAGGCUUUCUCCCACGGUCAGCCGGCAGCUCCGGGGCGCCACCUGCUGUCUGAAACUGCAGGCCUUGGCCUGAGCUGUCCCAUUCAUAGAAAACAAGUGAUGCCUUCUACAACGUGGCCCAAGGCUUCCAGCCCGGUGAAGGAGCCACAGUUCCUCAGCAAGAGGGAUCCUGUCCGCUCUCUAUGACAAAAUCACUUCAAAAUAAAUUGCGCGUGUGUGUACGAUGUAUAUUUGUAUUCACAGAGAGAACCAGCUCCC
This is a long non-coding RNA of Psammomys obesus (fat sand rat), 501 nucleotides long. RefSeq lists it as uncharacterized. The record is from RefSeq and is a predicted model, not a curated record. Lineage: Eukaryota; Metazoa; Chordata; Mammalia; Rodentia; Muridae. The transcript is spliced from 3 exons.